RNAcentral lists this transfer-messenger RNA (399 nucleotides) under Flavobacteriaceae. Its description in RNAcentral is "DT-35 sp013214425 Standard tmRNA". It matches the Rfam family "transfer-messenger RNA". Rfam says of the family: Bacterial tmRNA, also known as 10Sa RNA or SsrA, is named for its dual tRNA and mRNA-like properties. Its role is to liberate the mRNA from a stalled ribosome. RNAcentral also lists the same sequence under 1 other name. Lineage: Bacteria; Pseudomonadati; Bacteroidota; Flavobacteriia; Flavobacteriales. The record is from RNAcentral.
GGGGUCGACUGGUUUUGACAGCGAGAUUAAUAGGAUUGUAAGCACGUCGAGUGGUGAAAUAACACUCGUAAAUCCCUAUUUCAACUUUUUUAAACGGCGAAAAUAAUUACGCUCUAGCUGCUUAAUAUCUGAAUUAUAGUAAGAUAAAGCCUCGUCCUACAAGGUAGGAAAGCUGGAUGUCUGCUGAAAGCCCUGAUUAACGGCGUUCUAUUUACAGACAUCGUAAAAGUUAAUCUAGAGAUUGAGAUGUUUCGACUCUUUUUCGAAAUUUAAGAAACUAAGUAAAUCGUUGGCAGUUUCAGGUCUAUCGAUUUAACGAAAAUAAAACUGAAACUAAGCGUGUAGAAAGCCAUUUUGUUACUUGUUUGGACCCGAGUUCGAUUCUCGGCGACUCCACAA